RNAcentral lists this ribosomal RNA (325 nucleotides) under uncultured eukaryote. RNAcentral describes it as "partial 18S ribosomal RNA". It matches the Rfam family "Eukaryotic small subunit ribosomal RNA", at positions 1470 to 1796 of the family's 1831-position model. The record is from RNAcentral.
CCCUUAGAUGUCCUGGGCCGCACGCGCGUUACACUGAUGCAUUCAACGAGCUUAUAACCUUGGCCGAGAGGCCUGGGCAAUCUUGUUAACGUGCAUCGUGAUAGGGAUAGAUUAUUGAAAUUAUUAAUCUUGAACGAGGAAUUCCUAGUAAACGCAGAUCAUCAAUCUGCAUUGAUUACGUCCCUGCCCUUUGUACACACCGCCCGUCGCACCUACCGAUUGGAUGGUCCGGUGAAUUAUUCGGACUGCAACGCGCUCAGUUCCUGGAUGCGAUUGCGGAAAGUUUUGUGAACCUUACCACUUAGAGGAAGGAGAAGUCGUAACA